GCAGUAGCCGCGGUAAUACAGAGGGUGCGAGCGUUAAUCGGAUUUACUGGGCGUAAAGCGUGCGUAGGCGGCUUCUUAAGUCGGAUGUGAAAUCCCUGAGCUUAACUUAGGAAUUGCAUUCGAUACUGGGAAGCUAGAGUAUGGGAGAGGAUGGUAGAAUUCCAGGUGUAGCGGUGAAAUGCGUAGAGAUCUGGAGGAAUACCGAUGGCGAAGGCAGCCAUCUGGCCUAAUACUGACGCUGAGGUACGAAAGCAUGGGGAGCAAACAGGAUUAGAUACCCGGGUAGUCCCUGUCUCUUAUAC
This 302-nucleotide ribosomal RNA is filed under the name uncultured bacterium. RNAcentral describes it as "partial 16S ribosomal RNA". It matches the Rfam family "Bacterial small subunit ribosomal RNA", at positions 508 to 807 of the family's 1533-position model. The record is from RNAcentral.